UGUUUCCUUCAUUAUUUUAUACUGUAAUGAUUCAUCUAACUGUUCAUCUAGUUGAUGAGGUAAAAAAAAAGGUGGCUCGGUACAUUAUUGCUGGAUAUAUUCCGUUGAAAGGUAAGAUAUUCGUUAUUCAAAAUCAUUUUAGUUGAUUUUGCAGUAGUAUUUCAACUUAAAUGCUUCGUCUUACACAUUAAUAUUUAUGGGUAUAGAUAGUUGGCCAUUUUAAGUCCCUUGUAGGGAACAAAUCAUAAGAACAAGGUUACAUAGCUGAAGGUUACAUAGUGGAAGAAGCUCUUACUCUUUAUUCUGGUUAUUUUGAGGAAAUUGAGUAAAGGUUAAAUUGACCUAAACAUGUAAAUGAUGAACCAAGACAAAAUGAGGCUUCUGAAAAGUCAAGUAUGUUCCCUCAACAUGGUAAGCAUGUUGGAGACUUCAUAAAAGAAUCAUUGACUCAUUUGGAGUAAAAACAAGCUCAUCGAUAUGUGUUACUUAAUUGUGUGGCCGUGAAUCCAUUUAUUGAGUAAGAAAUAUACAUUGAUUCGAUUUGUGCAAUAUGUUUUUAGAAAUUUAAUUAAAAUUGCUAAUUAUAAUGCCUUAUAGUGAAUUUAGAGAUUACAUCAAAAGAAGUACAAGAGGCCAAAGAGUUUCAACAGAGGAAGAGAGAAGAUUUAGUAAAGAGUUCACUGAUUGGUUUCCUAAGAGAGUGAGUGAAUGAUAUUAGAAUUUUUUUAAUAUAACUUUCUUAUAUCAAUUUAUAAUUUUUGAUAUAAGUGCUUUAUAUGUUUAGAUUACGAAUCCGGAUAUAACAGAUACCAUCUCUGAUAAUAUGAAGUUCUCAGCCUAAGGUCCAGCCCGAGAUGCAAGAAGAUUCAGCACUUAUAACAUUAAUGGAUUCAAAUUCCGAACUUUGUCUAGAGAACAAGGAUUAAACACUCAAAAUAGUGUAGUUUUUCUUGUCUCUAACACUUCUUGUGUCGCAUCUAGUGCAGAUAGACAUGCAACACUAGCAGACCUGCCAUAUUAUAGAAAGUUGAAAGAUAUUAUUGAGCUUAAUUAUUUUGGCUAAUUUAGGGUUGUUCUUUUUAAAUGCCAGUGGGAUGACACUACUCGGAACAGAGGAUUCAAAAUAGAUGCUUAGAAGUUUAAUUGUGUCAACUUUUCCAAAUUAAGUGUGGUUGUACAUCUAAAACCAAGAGAUUUAUCUAACAUGGGAGAGGUUGAUGAAGAGGAAAAAUAUGAGAAUGAGCCAUACCAACAAAAAUUUGAAUAAUUGUUUUGACGUUGAUUACGAGAACGUCCAAAUUACAAUAGAGGGGCAUAUGACUGAAUAGAUAUAUCAUUAUUUUUUAGUUGCCUUUGGCACUUUGUUUUUCUCGCUUGAUUAGUGGUUUUUUUCAAAGAAUUCUUAUUUUUUGGCUAAGAAAGUUAUCUUUAUUCUUUAUAUAAUUCUUGAUACAUUUGUUUUGUUUUUCCAUUCUUAGUGUUUAAUCAUGAAAGGAUCUUCUGGUAUGUUAUGUGGUUUCUUAUCUCAAGGCAAAAAACUAGAGAACAGGAACUGAUUGGGGGUCUUGAUUGUACAAUUCACAAAACUUCUAUGGCAUCCAAGUAACGGAGUGAUUUUCUCAUUUUGAUUAAGCAGAUACAUUUGUUUUGUUUCUUCAUUCUUAGUUCUUAAUUAUGAAAGGAUCUUCUGGUAUGUUAUGUGGUUUCUUAUCUCAGGGAAAAAAACUGGAGGACAGGAACUGAUUGGGGUCUUGAUUGUACUGUUCAUAGAAACUUCUUUGGGAUCCAGAUAUGCCAAGGUUCAAGUGGUUGCAGAAAAAGCAAAAACUAGGUCCGUUGGUAUCUGCAUUACAAGGACUCAUCACAGCCAUCUCCUAUUGGUCGGGACUCAUCACAUCCAUCACCGGUUCGUCGGGACUCAUCACAACCAUCUCCUGUUCGUCGGGACUCAUCACAGCUAUCACUUGUUGGUCGAAACUCAUCACAGCCAUCUCCUAUUUGUCGGGACUCAUCACAUUCAUAUUCGGUUGGUCCGAACUCAUCACAGCCAUCUCGAUCAAUUCACUCUACAUCACAUCUAGGUAUGACAAAUCAAGACUCAUCAUAGUCAUCUCGA
Molecule: long non-coding RNA, 2116 nt
Organism: Capsicum annuum
Lineage: Eukaryota; Viridiplantae; Streptophyta; Magnoliopsida; Solanales; Solanaceae
Exons: 3
Source: RefSeq, a predicted model, not a curated record